CUUCCGGAGCUAACGCGUUAAGUAGACCGCCUGGGGAGUACGGCCGCAAGGUUAAAACUCAAAUGAAUUGACGGGGGCCCGCACAAGCGGUGGAGCAUGUGGUUUAAUUCGAUGCAACGCGAAGAACCUUACCUGGUCUUGACAUCCACAGAACUUUCCAGAGAUGGAUUGGUGCCUUCGGGAACUGUGAGACAGGUGCUGCAUGGCUGUCGUCAGCUCGUGUUGUGAAAUGUUGGGUUAAGUCCCGCAACGAGCGCAACCCUUAUCCUUUGUUGCCAGCGAUUAGGUCGGGAACUCAAAGGAGACUGCCAGUGAUAAACUGGAGGAAGGUGGGGAUGACGUCAAGUCAUCAUGGCCCUUACGACCAGGGCUACACACGUGCUACAAUGGCGCAUACAAAGAGAAGCGACCUCGCGAGAGCAAGCGGACCUCAUAAA
RNAcentral lists this ribosomal RNA (437 nucleotides) under Salmonella enterica. RNAcentral's name for it is "bacterial SSU rRNA". It matches the Rfam family "Bacterial small subunit ribosomal RNA", at positions 843 to 1280 of the family's 1533-position model. Lineage: Bacteria; Pseudomonadati; Pseudomonadota; Gammaproteobacteria; Enterobacterales; Enterobacteriaceae. The record is from RNAcentral.